RNAcentral lists this ribosomal RNA (322 nucleotides) under uncultured eukaryote. RNAcentral describes it as "partial 18S ribosomal RNA". It matches the Rfam family "Eukaryotic small subunit ribosomal RNA", at positions 1470 to 1796 of the family's 1831-position model. The record is from RNAcentral.
CCCUUAGAUGUUCUGGGCCGCACGCGUGCUACACUGAGUGGAUCAGCGGGUCAGGUUACGCGAGAGCGUUUCCUAAUCUUCAAAUCCGCUCGUGAUGGGGAUUGACGGUUGCAAUUUUCCGUCAUGAACGAGGAAUACCUUGUAAGCGCGGGUCAUCAUCCCGCGCUGAAUACGUCCCUGCCCUUUGUACACACCACCCGUCGCUCCUACCGAUUGAGUGGUCCGGUGAGGCUUUGGGAUCUAAGCGAAAAGAGCGUUUCGCUCCUUUUGCUGGGAGAACUCAGUCGAACCUUAUCAUUUAGAGGAAGGAGAAGUCGUAACA